UACAGAGGGUGCGAGCGUUGUCCGGAAUCACUGGGCGUAAAGGGUGCGUAGGCGGCUGUGCAAGUCUGGCGUGAAAGCCCCGGGCUCAGCCCGGGAAGUGCGCUCGAAACUGCACGGCUCGAGUGCCGGAGGGGAGAGUGGAAUUCCUGGUGUAGCGGUGAAAUGCGUAGAUAUCAGGAGGAAUACCAGUGGCGAAGGCGACUACCUGGCCUGUUCUUGACGCUGAGGCGCGAAAGCUAGGGGAGCAAACGGG
Molecule: ribosomal RNA, 253 nt
Filed under: uncultured bacterium
Lineage: Bacteria
Description: partial 16S ribosomal RNA
Rfam family: Bacterial small subunit ribosomal RNA
Source: RNAcentral